RNAcentral lists this ribosomal RNA (435 nucleotides) under uncultured bacterium. RNAcentral describes it as "partial 16S ribosomal RNA". It matches the Rfam family "Bacterial small subunit ribosomal RNA", at positions 29 to 507 of the family's 1533-position model. The record is from RNAcentral.
AGCGAACGCUGGCGGCAGGCUUAACACAUGCAAGUCGAGCGGGCAUAGCAAUAUGUCAGCGGCAGACGGGUGAGUAACGCGUGGGGACGUACCUUUUGGUUCGGAACAACUGAGGGAAACUUCAGCUAAUACCGGAUAAGCCCUUACGGGGAAAGAUUUAUCGCCGAAAGAUCGGCCCGCGUCUGAUUAGCUAGUUGGUGAGGUAAUGGCUCACCAAGGCGACGAUCAGUAGCUGGUCUGAGAGGAUGAUCAGCCACAUUGGGACUGAGACACGGCCCAAACUCCUACGGGAGGCAGCAGUGGGGAAUAUUGGACAAUGGGCGCAAGCCUGAUCCAGCCAUGCCGCGUGAGUGAUGAAGGCCCUAGGGUUGUAAAGCUCUUUUGUGCGGGAAGAUAAUGACGGUACCGCAAGAAUAAGCCCCGGCUAACUUCGUG